GCAGCAGGCACGCAAAUUACCCACUCCCGGCACGGGGAGGUAGUGACAAAAAAUAACGAUACGGGACUCUAUUGAGGCCCCGUAAUCGGAAUGAGUACACUUUAAAUCCUUUAACAAGGAUCCAUUGGAGGGCAAGUCUGGUGCCAGCAGCCGCGGUAAUUCCAGCUCCAAUAGCGUAUAUUAAAGUUGUUGCGGUUAAAAAGCUCGUAGUUGGUUCUGCGUGCCACGCUGUCGGUUCGCCGCCUGUCGGUGUAACUGGCAUGUCGUGGCAUGUCCUGUCGGUGGUGAACGGGGUCCCUGGUACGAUGUAGGCUUUUAUAGCUGAAAUCUGUACCGAGUGUGUUUCCGUUUGCCGAUCUCUCCUACUCCGGUGCUCUUAAACGAGUGUCGAGGUAGGCCGACACGUUCACUUUGAACAAAUUAGAGUGCUUAAAGCAGGCUAAAAUAUCUGCCUGAAUAGUGGUGCAUGGAAUGAUAAAACAGGACCUCAGUUCUAUUUUGUUGGUUUUAGGAAUAUGAGGUAAUGAUCAAUGUGGACUGGCGGGGGCAUUCGUAUUGCGACGUUAGAGGUGAAAUUCUUGGAUCGUCGCAAGACGCACUAGAGCGAAAGCAUUUGCCAAGUAUGUCUUAAUUGAUCAAGAACGAAAGUUAGAGGUUCGAAGGCGAUCAGAUACCGCCCUAGUUCUAACCAUAAACGAUGCCAGCCAGCGAUCCGCCGAUGUUCCUUUAAUGACUCGGCGGGGAGCUUCUACUCGGGAAACCAAAGCUUUUGGGUUCCGGGGGAAGUAUGGUUGCAAAGCUGAAACUUAAAGGAAUUGACGGAAGGGCACCACCAGGAGUGGAGCCUGCGGCUUAAUUUGACUCAACACGGGAAACCUCACCAGGCCAGGACAUUGG
This 897-nucleotide ribosomal RNA is filed under the name Cosmolestes picticeps. RNAcentral describes it as "SSU rRNA". It matches the Rfam family "Eukaryotic small subunit ribosomal RNA", at positions 425 to 1234 of the family's 1831-position model. The record is from RNAcentral. Lineage: Eukaryota; Metazoa; Arthropoda; Insecta; Hemiptera; Reduviidae.